This 305-nucleotide ribosomal RNA is filed under the name uncultured bacterium. RNAcentral's name for it is "bacterial SSU rRNA". It matches the Rfam family "Bacterial small subunit ribosomal RNA", at positions 333 to 655 of the family's 1533-position model. The record is from RNAcentral.
AGUCGCCUACGGGAGGCAGCAGUGGGGAAUAUUGCACAAUGGGGGAAACCCUGAUGCAGCGACGCCGCGUGAAGGAAGAAGUAUUUCGGUAUGUAAACUUCUAUCAGCAGGGAAGAAAAUGACGGUACCUGAGUAAGAAGCCCCGGCUAACUACGUGCCAGCAGCCGCGGUAAUACGUAGGGGGCAAGCGUUAUCCGGAUUUACUGGGUGUAAAGGGAGCGUAGACGGUUAUGCAAGUCUGGAGUGAAAGGCGGGGGCUCAACCCCCGGACUGCUCUGGAAACUGUAGAACUAGAGUGCAGGAGG